This 216-nucleotide ribosomal RNA is filed under the name uncultured bacterium. Its description in RNAcentral is "partial 16S ribosomal RNA". It matches the Rfam family "Bacterial small subunit ribosomal RNA", at positions 335 to 573 of the family's 1533-position model. The record is from RNAcentral.
ACUCCUACGGGAGGCAGCAGUGGGAAUCUUGGACAAUGGGGCACCGUGCAUCAGCCAUGCCGCGUGAGUGAUGAAGGCCCUAGGGUCGUAAAGCUCUUUCGCCUGUGAUGAUAAUGACAGUAGCAGGUAAAGAAACCCGCGUACAUCCGUGCCAGCAGCCGCGGUAAUACGGAGGGGUUAGCGUUGUUCGGAAUUACUGGGCGUAAAGCGCGCGUA